CGUAACAAGGUCUCCGUUGGUGAACCAGCGGAGGGAUCAUUACCGAGUUUACAACUCCCAAACCCCUGUGAACAUACCACUUGUUGCCUCGGCGGAUCAGCCCGCUCCCGGUAAAACGGGACGGCCCGCCAGAGGACCCCUAAACUCUGUUUCUAUAUGUAACUUCUGAGUAAAACCAUAAAUAAAUCAAAACUUUCAACAACGGAUCUCUUGGUUCUGGCAUCGAUGAAGAACGCAGCAAAAUGCGAUAAGUAAUGUGAAUUGCAGAAUUCAGUGAAUCAUCGAAUCUUUGAACGCACAUUGCGCCUGCCAGUAUUCUGGCGGGCAUGCCUGUUCGAGCGUCAUUUCAACCCUCAAGCACAGCUUGGUGUUGGGACUCGCGUUAAUUCGCGUUCCCCAAAUUGAUUGGCGGUCACGUCGAGCUUCCAUAGCGUAGUAGUAAAACCCUCGUUACUGGUAAUCGUCGCGGCCACGCCGUUAAACCCCAACUUCUGAAUGUUGACCUCGGAUCAGGUAGGAAUACCCGCUGAACUUAUGCAUAUCAAUACACGCCGGAGAAGAUCAUUACCCGGUUUACAACUCCAAACCUGUGAACAUACAUUGGUUUCUCGGGAUCAGCCGCUCCGGUAAAAGGGGACGGCGCGGAGGACCUAAACUCUGUUUCUAUAUGUAACUUCGGAGUAAAACAUAAAUAAAUCA
RNAcentral lists this ribosomal RNA (699 nucleotides) under Fusarium oxysporum f. sp. lycopersici. RNAcentral's name for it is "eukaryotic LSU rRNA". The stretch from base 191 to 344 matches the Rfam family "5.8S ribosomal RNA". The record is from RNAcentral. Lineage: Eukaryota; Fungi; Ascomycota; Sordariomycetes; Hypocreales; Nectriaceae.